GUAGCGCUGUCUGUCUCACACUCAUAUCUUCAGCUCAUCAUCUCAUGACGUAGAGAUGGAUCAGGACACGGUGAAGGAACAACAUGAGAUCCAGACUGAAGAUCAGAGGACCAGGAAGAAGCUCACAUCUGGACCUGGACCCAGCUGUGUGUCCUUUAGAAGUGACCGGUCCAUUGACAAACUCAUUAACUUCAAAGGAGGUCCAUCUACUGACCCACACAGCUUGGAGGGUGUGGAUGGUUCCUCUGGAGCUGAGCCUGACUCCAUUUUUACGGUGUAGUGGCAGGUGUGGCGUGAGUGAAGCUAUAGCGAUCAGGUGACCUUCACUAUGUACUGUAGCACCGUCUGUGUGACAUGUAAACAGUUAAGCGUCCAGGUCAGCAGGCGUGUAGACACGUGCACGUCCGUAAGUGUGUGUGUGUGUUGACUGUUGUAUCCUUUCCAAUCACAGCUACGAUCUGACUCAGAAUCAGAAAUGUUUAAUGGCCAAGUACAGUUUUAAGGACAGUACAAGGAAUUUGUCUUGGUAGAUGGUUCACGAAACAAAAACAACAAAAACAAGAACAAAGAACAACCCAGCAACAAUAAUAAUAAUAGUGAUAAAUAUAAAGGAUGAUGGAUAAAUAAAGGAUAGAUAGAGAAAAGGAUAAAUAGGAUA
This 658-nucleotide long non-coding RNA is filed under the name Gouania willdenowi (blunt-snouted clingfish). Its description in RNAcentral is "lncRNA (ENSGWIG00000016062.1)". Lineage: Eukaryota; Metazoa; Chordata; Actinopteri; Blenniiformes; Gobiesocidae. The record is from RNAcentral.